UGGGGAAUAUUGCACAAUGGGCGAAAGCCUGAUGCAGCAACGCCGCGUGAGUGAUGAAGGCCUUCGGGUUGUAAAGCUCUGUCUUUUGGGACGAUAAUGACGGUACCAAAGGAGGAAGCCACGGCUAACUACGUGCCAGCAGCCGCGGUAAUACGUAGGGGGCAAGCGUUGUCCGGAGUAACUGGGCGUAAAGGGCGCGUAGGCGGAAUAAUAAGUCAGUUGUGAAAGAUAUGGGCUCAACUCAUAGAACGCAUCUGAAACUGUUAAAUCUGGAGUAUAGGAGAGGGAAACGGAAUUCCUGGUGUAGCGGUGAAAUGCGUAGAGAUCAGGAAGAACAUCAGUGGCGAAGGCGGUUUCCUGGCCUAAAACUGACGCUGAAGCGCGAAAGCAUGGGUAGCGAACAGGAUUAGAUACCCUGGUAGUCCAUGCCGUAAACGAUGGAUACUAGGUGUGGGUAUCGCAAGAUAUCCGUGCCGCAGUUAACGCAAUAAGUAUCCCGCCUGGGGAGUACGGCCGCAAGGUUGAAACUUAAAUGAAUUGACGGGGUCAUAGCUGUUUCCU
RNAcentral lists this ribosomal RNA (561 nucleotides) under uncultured bacterium. Its description in RNAcentral is "partial 16S ribosomal RNA". It matches the Rfam family "Bacterial small subunit ribosomal RNA", at positions 355 to 1375 of the family's 1533-position model. The record is from RNAcentral.